UCCGUAGGCGGGCUAAUAAGUCAGGGGUGAAAUCCCAUAGCUUAACUGUGGAACUGCCUUUGAUACUGUUAGUCUUGAGUUAUAUGGAAGUAGAUAGAAUGUGUAGUGUAGCGGUGAAAUGCAUAGAUAUUACACAGAAUACCGAUUGCGAAGGCAGUCUACUACAUAUAUACUGACGCUAAUGGACGAAAGCGUGGCGAGCGAACAGGAUUAGAUACCCUGGUAGUCC
Molecule: ribosomal RNA, 229 nt
Filed under: uncultured bacterium
Lineage: Bacteria
Description: partial 16S ribosomal RNA
Rfam family: Bacterial small subunit ribosomal RNA
Source: RNAcentral